Molecule: ribosomal RNA, 389 nt
Filed under: uncultured bacterium
Lineage: Bacteria
Description: bacterial SSU rRNA
Rfam family: Bacterial small subunit ribosomal RNA
Source: RNAcentral
AACGAACGCUGGCGGCGUGCCUAACACAUGCAAGUCGCGCGAGAAAAGGGGGGUAACUCCCUGAGUAAAGCGGCGCACGGGUGAGUAACACGUAGGUAACCUACCCCCGAGUCCAGGAUAACCUGCCGAAAGGUGGGCUAAUACCGGAUAUGACCACGGGAGCUUCGGCUCCUGAGGUGAAAGGUGGCCUCUGCUCGCAAGCUACUGCUCGAGGAUGGGCCUGCGCGCCAUUAGCUAGUUGGUGGGGUAACGGCCCACCAAGGCGAUGAUGGCUAGCUGGUCUGAGAGGAUGGCCAGCCACACUGGGACUGAAACACGGCCCAGACUCCUACGGGAGGCAGCAGUGGGGGAUAUUGCGCAAUGGGCGAAAGCCUGACGCAGCGACGCCG